CCUACGGGAGGCUGCAGUAGGGAAUAUUGCUCAAUGGGGGAAACCCUGAAGCAGCAACGCCGCGUGGGUGAUGGAGGUUUUCUGAUUGUAAACUCCUUUCGUCAGGGAAGAUAAUGACGGUAUCUAAACCAUACACCCCGGCUUACUUAGUUCCAACCGCCGCGGUAAUUCGGAGGGUGCCAGGGUUACUCGGAGUUACUGGGGGGAUAGAGAGCGUAGAAGGGCGGGUAAGUCUGAAGGGAAAGCCUAUGGCGUAACCAUUGAACGGCAUUUGAAACUGUUAGUCGUGAGUAUGGGAGUGGUAGGUGGAAUUCCUGGUGUAGGGGUAAAAUCCGGAGAUAUCAAGAGGAAUACU
RNAcentral lists this ribosomal RNA (355 nucleotides) under uncultured bacterium. RNAcentral describes it as "partial 16S ribosomal RNA". It matches the Rfam family "Bacterial small subunit ribosomal RNA", at positions 338 to 710 of the family's 1533-position model. The record is from RNAcentral.